AUGAACGCUGGCGGCGUGCCUAAUACAUGCAAGUCGAGCGAACGGACGAGAAGCUUGCUUCUCUGAUGUUAGCGGCGGACGGGUGAGUAACACGUGGAUAACCUACCUAUAAGACUGGGAUAACUUCGGGAAACCGGAGCUAAUACCGGAUAAUAUUUUGAACCGCAUGGUUCAAAAGUGAAAGACGGUCUUGCUGUCACUUAUAGAUGGAUCCGCGCUGCAUUAGCUAGUUGGUAAGGUAACGGCUUACCAAGGCAACGAUGCAUAGCCGACCUGAGAGGGUGAUCGCCCCCCCGGGAACUGAGACACGGUCCAGACCCCUAGGGGGGGCAGCAGUAGGGAAUCUUCCGCAAUGGGGGAAAGCCUGACGGAGCAACGCCGGGUGGGGGAUGAAGGUCUUCGGAUCGUAAAACUCUUUUAUUGGGGAAGAACAUAUGUGUAAGUAACUGUGCCCAUCUUGACGGUACCUAAGCAGAAAGCCCCGGCUAACUACGU
This 495-nucleotide ribosomal RNA is filed under the name uncultured bacterium. Its description in RNAcentral is "partial 16S ribosomal RNA". It matches the Rfam family "Bacterial small subunit ribosomal RNA", at positions 29 to 506 of the family's 1533-position model. The record is from RNAcentral.